This 430-nucleotide ribosomal RNA is filed under the name uncultured bacterium. Its description in RNAcentral is "partial 16S ribosomal RNA". It matches the Rfam family "Bacterial small subunit ribosomal RNA", at positions 354 to 796 of the family's 1533-position model. The record is from RNAcentral.
GUGGGGAAUAUUGCACAAUGGGCGAAAGCCUGAUGCAGCAACGCCGCGUGAGGGACGACGGCCUUCGGGUUGUAAACCUCUUUUAGUAGGGAAGAAGCGAAAGUGACGGUACCUGCAGAAAAAGCACCGGCUAACUACGUGCCAGCAGCCGCGGUAAUACGUAGGGUGCAAGCGUUAUCCGGAAUUAUUGGGCGUAAAGAGCUCGUAGGCGGUCUGUCGCGUCUACUGUGAAAACUGGAGGCUCAACCUCCAGCCUGCAGUGGGUACGGGCAGACUAGAGUGCGGUAGGGGAGAUUGGAAUUCCUGGUGUAGCGGUGGAAUGCGCAGAUAUCAGGAGGAACACCGAUGGCGAAGGCAGAUCUCUGGGCCGUAACUGACGCUGAGGAGCGAAAGCGUGGGGAGCGAACAGGAUUAGAAACCCUGGUAGUCC